GACGAACGCUGGCGGCGUGGAUUAGGCAUGCAAGUCGAACGGUAGGAUACCUUCGGGGUAUCUGAGAGUGGCGAACGGGUGAGUAACACGUAGGUGAUCUACCCUCAAGAUUGGGACAACCCAGGGAAACUUGGGCUAAUACCGGAUGAAAGCAGCAGUGAUGUUGUUUGAAAGGUGGCGUAAGCUGCCGUUUGGGGAUGAGCCUGCGCUCUAUUAGUUAGUUGGCGGGGUAAAGGCCCACCAAGGCGAUGAUAGAUAGGCGGCCUUAACGGGUGGUCGCCCACACUGGGAUUGAGAUACGGCCCAGACUCCUACGGGAGGCAGCAGUCGAGAAUAGUCUACAAUGGCCGAAAGGCUGAUAGUGCGACGCCGCGUGAACGAAGAAGCCCUUCGGGGUGUAAAGUUCUUUUAUAUGUGAGCAGUGCUUUCUAUGUGAACAGCAUGGGGAGAGAGAUAUUAGCAUAUGAAUAAGCAACGGCUAACUCCGUG
RNAcentral lists this ribosomal RNA (489 nucleotides) under uncultured bacterium. Its description in RNAcentral is "bacterial SSU rRNA". It matches the Rfam family "Bacterial small subunit ribosomal RNA", at positions 28 to 507 of the family's 1533-position model. The record is from RNAcentral.